This 755-nucleotide ribosomal RNA is filed under the name uncultured bacterium. RNAcentral describes it as "bacterial SSU rRNA". It matches the Rfam family "Bacterial small subunit ribosomal RNA", at positions 8 to 796 of the family's 1533-position model. The record is from RNAcentral.
AGAGUUUGAUCAUGGCUCAGAAUCAACGCUGGCGGCGUGCCUAACACAUGCAAGUCGACGAGAAAGGGGCUUCGGUCCUGAGUAAAGUGGCGCACGGGUGAGUAACACGUGAAUGAUCUACCUCCGAGUGGGGAAUAACUGAGAGAAAUCUUAGCUAAUACCGCAUAACACUUACGAGUCAAAGCAGCAAUGCGCUUGGAGAGGAGUUCGCGGCCGAUUAGUUAGUUGGCGGGGUAAUGGCCCACCAAGACGAUGAUCGGCAUCCGGCCUGAGAGGGCGCACGGACACACUGGAACUGAAACACGGUCCAGACUCCUACGGGAGGCAGCAGUGGGGAAUUUUGCGCAAUGGGGGAAACCCUGACGCAGCAACGCCGCGUGGAGGAUGAAGUAUCUUGGUACGUAAACUCCUUUCGAUGGGGAAGAUAAUGACGGUACCCAUAGAAGAAGCCCCGGCUAACUUCGUGCCAGCAGCCGCGGUAAUACGAGGGGGGCAAGCGUUGUUCGGAAUUAUUGGGCGUAAAGGGUGCGUAGGCGGUUUGAUAAGUCUGAUGUGAAAUCUCUGGGCUCAACCCAGAGUCUGCAUUAGAAACUGUCGGGCUUGAGUAUGGGGGAGGUGAGUGGAAUUUCCGGUGUAGCGGUGAAAUGCGUAGAUAUCGGAAGGAACACCUGUGGCGAAAGCGGCUCACUGGACCAUAACUGACGCUGAGGCACGAAAGCUAGGGGAGCAAACAGGAUUAGAUACCCUAGUAGUCC